GACGAACGCUGGCGGCGUGCUUAACACAUGCAGUCGAACGGAAAGGCCCUGCUUUUGUGGGGUGCUCGAGUGGCGAACGGGUGAGUAACACGUGAGUAACCUGCCCUUGACUUUGGGAUAACUUCAGGAAACUGGGGCUAAUACCGGAUAGGAGCUCCUGCUGCCUGGUGGGGGGUGGAAAGUUUCGGCGGUUGGGGAUGGACUCGCGGCUUAUCAGCUUGUUGGUGGGGUAGUGGCUUACCAAGGCUUUGACGGGUAGCCGGCCUGAGAGGGUGACCGGCCACAUUGGGACUGAGAUACGGCCCAGACUCCUACGGGAGGCAGCAGUGGGGAAUAUUGCACAAUGGGCGGAAGCCUGAUGCAGCAACGCCGCGUGCGGGAUGACGGCCUUCGGGUUGUAAACCGCUUUCGCCUGUGACGAAGCGUGAGUGACGGUAAUGGGUAAAGAAGCACCGGCUAACUACGUG
This 467-nucleotide ribosomal RNA is filed under the name uncultured bacterium. Its description in RNAcentral is "partial 16S ribosomal RNA". It matches the Rfam family "Bacterial small subunit ribosomal RNA", at positions 28 to 507 of the family's 1533-position model. The record is from RNAcentral.